RNAcentral lists this ribosomal RNA (450 nucleotides) under uncultured bacterium. RNAcentral describes it as "partial 16S ribosomal RNA". It matches the Rfam family "Bacterial small subunit ribosomal RNA", at positions 354 to 796 of the family's 1533-position model. The record is from RNAcentral.
GUGGGGAAUCUUCCACAAUGGACGAAAGUCUGAUGGAGCAACGCCGCGUGAGUGAAGAAGGGUUUCGGCUCGUAAAGCUCUGUUGUCGGGGACGAAUGUGCAGUAUUUGAACAAAGUACUGCAAUGACGGUACCUGACGAGGAAGCCACGGCUAACUACGUGCCAGCAGCCGCGGUAAUACGUAGGUGGCAAGCGUUGUCCGGAAUUAUUGGGCGUAAAGGGAGCGCAGGCGGGAAGGUAAGUCGGUCUUAAAAGUGCGGGGCUCAACCCCGUGAUGGGAUCGAAACUAUCUUUCUUGAGUGCAGGAGAGGAAAGUGGAAUUCCUAGUGUAGCGGUGAAAUGCGUAGAUAUUAGGAGGAACACCAGUGGCGAAGGCGACUUUCUGGACUGUAACUGACGCUGAGGCUCGAAAGCCAGGGGAGCGAACGGGAUUAGAUACCCCUGUAGUCC